This 465-nucleotide ribosomal RNA is filed under the name Vreelandella stevensii. RNAcentral's name for it is "partial 16S ribosomal RNA". It matches the Rfam family "Bacterial small subunit ribosomal RNA", at positions 338 to 795 of the family's 1533-position model. Lineage: Bacteria; Pseudomonadati; Pseudomonadota; Gammaproteobacteria; Oceanospirillales; Halomonadaceae. The record is from RNAcentral.
CCUACGGGAGGCUGCAGUGGGGAAUAUUGGACAAUGGGGGGAACCCUGAUCCAGCCAUGCCGCGUGUGUGAAGAAGGCCCUCGGGUUGUAAAGCACUUUCAGUGAGGAAGAACGCCUGGUGGUUAAUACCCAUCAGGAAAGACAUCACUCACAGAAGAAGCACCGGCUAACUCCGUGCCAGCAGCCGCGGUAAUACGGAGGGUGCGAGCGUUAAUCGGAAUUACUGGGCGUAAAGCGCGCGUAGGUGGCUUGAUAAGCCGGUUGUGAAAGCCCCAGGCUCAACCUGGGAACGGCAUCCGGAACUGUCAAGCUAGAGUGCAGGAGAGGAAGGUAGAAUUCCCGGUGUAGCGGUGAAAUGCGUAGAGAUCGGGAGGAAUACCAGUGGCGAAGGCGGCCUUCUGGACUGACACUGACACUGAGGUGCGAAAGCGUGGGUAGCAAACAGGAUUAGAUACCCCUGUAGUC